This is a non-coding RNA of Chiloscyllium plagiosum (whitespotted bambooshark), 100 nucleotides long. NCBI's taxonomy places the organism in Eukaryota, Metazoa, Chordata, Chondrichthyes, Orectolobiformes, Hemiscylliidae. The record is from RefSeq and is a predicted model, not a curated record.
CCCAAUGUCCUCUGAAGUUAUUUUUUUAACCUUUCUUUGUCAUGUCAGCUUUAUAUUAAUUCCUUCGUGAGUCAUGGACUGUGAAUAUACGAGGGUGAGC